AUGCAAACUCUCUCUAAACUGAAUAGUUUUUAUAAGCAAAGAAGUAAGAAGGGACGGGCUACUGAUGGUGAUCGUAAUACGAAUUUUUUUCAUCAAGUUGUGCUUAAGAGAAGGAAAAGGAAUACUAUCUGCUCGGUUAAGGAUGAAAAUAAUAUUGUGCAUUUUAAGCCUAGUCUCAUUGCUAAUACCUUUGUUAAUUAUUUCAGCAACUGUGGUAGACCUUUUCUUGCUUCUCAAUUACCGGAGGGCUCUUUGGACCCUACUUAUUUAAUUCCGGAUAAAAAUGAGGUCUUGCAGAUUUUGAAGGACAUGAAGUUGAAUGCUUCUCUAGGGCCAGAUGGUUUUAAUGUUGAGUUUUAUUUGGCUACUUGGAAUUGGAUAGGAGACGAUGUCACUCAAUUGGUAGUCAAUUUUUAUAGAACAGGUAUAUUGCCCUCUCACGUGAGUGAUACAAACAUUGCUCUCAUUCCAAAAAAACUUGUUCCUCAGGUUCCUAUGGAUUAUCGUCCC
This 510-nucleotide ribosomal RNA is filed under the name Triticum aestivum (bread wheat). RNAcentral describes it as "partial small subunit ribosomal RNA". Lineage: Eukaryota; Viridiplantae; Streptophyta; Magnoliopsida; Poales; Poaceae. The record is from RNAcentral.